UAUAAAAUUAUCUUCAAAGACAAAGUGCCAGCGAACGGAGACGACAAGAAGAAGAGCACAGACCUUCUAUUCAAAUAUGACAAAACCAAGAAGGAGUGGCAGCUGGGGAAGACAAAGGUAUUUCAGAACUUGAUUUGGUCUCCCCCGUCUUCAUGUACGUACGUACAAUGACAUCUCCUCCUCCGAUAUAGGUUUUUAUGAAGGAGUCUCUAGAGCAGCAACUGGAGAAAGACAGAGACGAAAUCCGCCGCCAAGCCGCCAUGAUAAUCCGCGCUCACCUCCUCACCUUCUCGGCCAAGAAGUACUUGAAGCGAGCCCGUGCCGCUGUCAUCGCCCUGCAGAAGCACCUGAGGAGACACAUCUUGAGGAAGCGAUUUGUCAAACAGCGCAAGGCAGUGGUGGUGCUGCAGAAACACCGCCGGGGACAAGUGGCGAGGACCCGGGUCCGAAAGCUACGAGAGGAGAAGAAGAAGAGAGAGGAGGAGCAGAAGAAGAAAGAGGCGGAGGAGAAGAAGGAGCAGGGAGCAGAGGAGGAGGACGACGAAGAGUCAGCUGACAAGAAGGCAAAUGAUGAGACCAAGCAGAUGGAGGAGAUCCUGCUGCUGGAGCGUGAGAUCGAGC
This 621-nucleotide long non-coding RNA is filed under the name Neogobius melanostomus (round goby). RNAcentral's name for it is "lncRNA (ENSNMLG00000015268.1)". Lineage: Eukaryota; Metazoa; Chordata; Actinopteri; Gobiiformes; Gobiidae. The record is from RNAcentral.